GUGCUCACUUUGGCAGCACAUACACUAAAAUUGGAGCAAUGCAGAGAUUAGCAUAGCCCCUGCUCAAGGAUGACACGCAAAAUCAUGAAGAGUCCACAUUUUUU
Molecule: non-coding RNA, 104 nt
Organism: Otolemur garnettii (small-eared galago)
Lineage: Eukaryota; Metazoa; Chordata; Mammalia; Primates; Galagidae
Source: Rfam